CAGAACACAGCCAAAAGUCACUGCUUCACCAAGCCAACGUUUGUUAAACCCAAACUGUUCUAAG
This 64-nucleotide transfer RNA is filed under the name Pristimantis calcarulatus (San Antonio robber frog). Its description in RNAcentral is "tRNA-Val". The record is from RNAcentral. Lineage: Eukaryota; Metazoa; Chordata; Amphibia; Anura; Strabomantidae.